Long non-coding RNA from Mauremys reevesii (Reeves's turtle), 1447 nucleotides. RefSeq lists it as uncharacterized. NCBI's taxonomy places the organism in Eukaryota, Metazoa, Chordata, Testudines, Geoemydidae. The transcript is spliced from 5 exons. The record is from RefSeq and is a predicted model, not a curated record.
AAAAAUAAUAAUUUUUGUUUACCUGGUUUUCUUCCAAAAUGAAAUUCCAGCAAAAUCAGCCUGAUUUCAUGAAGCCUUUCAAUUUUGAUGGCGCUGCAUUGUCCGACAGACUGUUGGGUCUCUGUCAAAUAUUAUCAAGAGUCAGAUUAACCCCAUAUAGUGCUCUGGAGCCAGUGGGUUUAGCAAAGCUCCUUUGGGUGUGUGUCUGUUCAGUUGUAUUUUUAAAUAAAAGUACCUCAUGUCAUUCUUCCAUAAUAAACCCUCAGAUCUUAUUUAAUUGCAUAACUCAGUGGUUCUAGAAAUAUGAUCACCUUUGUGUGUGGACUCAUCUGUUUGUACAAGAUGGCUUCUUAUAUCAGUCCUUAGCUAUAGUUGUGUGCUCUGUGCCCUCCUGCUAUUUCUGGCAUUAAGGGACACACAGCCUUGGUGCUUCGGUGAACAUUCUGGAAUAUCAUAUGACACAACUGCUUGUAGAUCGCUUGGCACUUCUAGAUCACAGUGCCACAUGACACAGCUGCUUCUAGAAUGUGUUGGUAAAUUCUUCCAUUUUAGUAAUUUGGUGGCAGAAGAUUAGAGAAGUAGAGAAUGUUCCAGAAAAACAGAGCUGAAUAGUCAAAGUCUGGAAGUUUUGCCCUGAGAGUUAGAGGGUCUUAGUGAUCUUUUCAUUCUCAUGAGACUGCUAACAAAUGCACCACCUGUGGUAGUGGUUGGUUAGACAUAGAGAUAUAUGUAGCGUCCUCAUUGUUCUCCAUCAGGUGACAGUCCCUAUGUGUAUUCCUCUAUGGACCCUACUGUGGUUCUUGGGAUCCUUCAGAGGAUGUGAAGCAGAGAGGAAGGAGGGCGGGUAGUGGAAUACCCAUAGGGACCGUGCAUAUCAAAGAACUCCAGUUUCUGUAAGCUUUCUUGGAGCAUUUUAUCUGACAUGUCAGACAAUAGGCCUGUCCAGAUGAACUUGACUGUUAUAUGUGAUUAAAACCAGUUACGUUACUUCCCAUUUCUGCUGUCUCUCUUCGAUACUUCUGCAACCAUGCCAAGGAAAUACCUCCUCUGUUUGCCAGCACUGAUUUGUUCUUCACUGGAAUGCGGUGAUGUUACCAGAUUUGCCCGUUACUUUGAGUAGUACCCAUGAGUCUACACCAGGCACAGGGCCCAAGUGUGCCAGGUGCUGCACAGACAUAGAAUGGAAGACACUCCCUUUCCUGAAGAUCUUAUGAUUUAAAGAACAAAGCAGACAAACACAAAUAGGCAGCAAAGCAAAAUUAGAGGCACAUGGUGUGAAAGAUACAUGGAGAAGAUAUGCCUAUCCACCUUAUGAAGAAUAAAGGUCAAGGAAAAUAACUUGUCACUGUUACCUCCAGUAAGCAGUAAUCUGUUUUGUAUCUUGGGUAAUGGUGCCAUGUUAUUCCUCAUACUUUCUGAGGCCUCAGAGCUACCAAACUAGACUUGU